ACAGCAGUCGCCACGGGAAUACGUAGGGUGCAAGCGUUAAUCGGAAUUACUGGGCGUAAAGGGUGCGUAGGCGGGUUUUUAAGUCAGGGGUGAAAUCCUGGAGCUCAACUCCAGAACUGCCCUUGAUACUGGGAAUCUUGAGUAUGGGAGAGGUGAGUGGAACUGCGAGUGUAGAGGUGAAAUUCGUAGAUAUUCGCAAGAACACCAGUGGCGAAGGCGGCUCACUGGCCCAUAACUGACGCUGAGGCACGAAAGCGUGGGGAGCAAACAGGAUUAGAUACCCCAGUAGUCCCUGUCUCUUAUAC
Molecule: ribosomal RNA, 305 nt
Filed under: uncultured bacterium
Lineage: Bacteria
Description: partial 16S ribosomal RNA
Rfam family: Bacterial small subunit ribosomal RNA
Source: RNAcentral